Molecule: small RNA, 106 nt
Filed under: Marmota monax (woodchuck)
Lineage: Eukaryota; Metazoa; Chordata; Mammalia; Rodentia; Sciuridae
Source: RNAcentral
GCCAGGUGUGAUGGAGCACACCUGUGGUCCCAGCUACUCGGGAGGCUGAGGCAGGAGGAUUACGAGUUCAGGGCCAGCUGGGCAAUGUAGAAAGACCCUGUCUCAA